GCAGAUUGCCGGAGGCCAGAAAGUAAGACAAAUAACAGCUCACCUGCCUGGCUUGUUGGAGCAACAAGAAACUUUAAGAGCAAUCCUCCAUUUGCCAGGGGAAGAUAACUGGAAAGCUGAGCUGGAGUUUGAAAGACAAGAUGUAUUUCAAACUUCCCUUGAACUUUCUCCAGUAAGUAUAAUUGUGUGCUUGUUGUCAACCCGGCCUUAGUCCUUGUCAUUACAGGUUCAGUAGCUGCAAAGGUGAAAUGUUUUGACAAAUAUUGAACGUCAUCUAUUUUAUACUCUGGAUCAGCAUGGAUGUUUUUUAGCUUCUUCAGACGGCUCUGUAAUGGAGUUAUAUUUGGAAGUUUCCCAGUAUGGUGCAAAAAGCCUCAUAGAGAGAGGAAGUUUAUAAACUGCAGUUCUACGCGAAGAAGAAAGACCAGAUGCUCAUCCUGCAUGACUCCUCCUUGAGCCUUUGUAUUUUCCCAGCUAGACCUUUCAGGCUUCCUAUUUAUACAUUUAUCUCAAGUAUACCGAGUGGUGACAAAGAUGCGAAUCGGCCAGCACAUUUUCACUCAGUGUAGAGAGAAGCCAUUUAAAGACUGAGAUAACAUUUCAAGAAAACAAUAAAACCUGACAAUAAGGGAAGAUGAGAAAAAAGGAACAUUCCUGACUGUGGUUCUGACAUUCACAA
RNAcentral lists this long non-coding RNA (679 nucleotides) under Homo sapiens (human). RNAcentral describes it as "non-protein coding lnc-METTL4-2:4". The record is from RNAcentral. Lineage: Eukaryota; Metazoa; Chordata; Mammalia; Primates; Hominidae.